This 301-nucleotide ribosomal RNA is filed under the name uncultured bacterium. Its description in RNAcentral is "partial 16S ribosomal RNA". It matches the Rfam family "Bacterial small subunit ribosomal RNA", at positions 509 to 807 of the family's 1533-position model. The record is from RNAcentral.
CAGUCGCCGCGGUAAUACGUAGGGUGCAAGCGUUAAUCGGAAUUACUGGGCGUAAAGCGUGCGCAGGCGGUUAUAUAAGACAGAUGUGAAAUCCCCGGGCUCAACCUGGGAACUGCAUUUGUGACUGUAUAGCUAGAGUACGGCAGAGGGGGAUGGAAUUCCGAGUGUAGCAGUGAAAUGCGUAGAUAUGCGGAGGAACACCGAUGGCGAAGGCAAUCCCCUGGGCCUGUACUGACGCUCAUGCACGAAAGCGUGGGGAGCAAACAGGAUUAGAUACCCCGGUAGUCCCUGUCUCUUAUAC